This 484-nucleotide ribosomal RNA is filed under the name uncultured bacterium. Its description in RNAcentral is "partial 16S ribosomal RNA". The stretch from base 59 to 484 matches the Rfam family "Bacterial small subunit ribosomal RNA", at positions 39 to 507 of the family's 1533-position model. The record is from RNAcentral.
GGGGGGGGGGGGGGGGGGGGGGGGGGGGGGGGGGGGGGGGGGGGGAGGGGGGGGGGGGGCGGGGGGGAGCGGGGGGCGGGGGAGGAAGGCGGGGGAAUGGGCCGGGUAGGGGGGGAUGACGUCCGGGAACGGGCGCUACUACCGGAUACGUCCUGGGGGGGGGAGUGGGGGAGCUUGGGACCGCACGCUACCAGAGGAGCCUAGGGCGGAUUAGCGAGUUGGUGGGGUAAAGGCCGACCCGGGCGACGAUCCGUAACUGGUCUGAGAGGAUGAGCAGUCACACUGGAACUGAGACACGGUCACGACUCCUACGGGAGGCAGCAGUGGGGAAUAUUGGACAAUGGGCAAAAGCCUGUUCCAGCCAUGCCGCGUGUGUGAAGAAGGUCUUCGGAUUGUAAAGCACUUUAAGUUGGGAGGAAGGGCAGUAAGUUAAUACCUUGCUGUUUUGACGUUACCAACAGAAUAAGCACCGGCUAACUUCGUG